This 1483-nucleotide ribosomal RNA is filed under the name uncultured Eubacteriaceae bacterium. Its description in RNAcentral is "bacterial SSU rRNA". It matches the Rfam family "Bacterial small subunit ribosomal RNA". The record is from RNAcentral. Lineage: Bacteria; Bacillati; Bacillota; Clostridia; Eubacteriales; Eubacteriaceae.
GAGUUUGAUCCUGGCUCAGAACGAACGCUGGCGGCGUGCCUAACACAUGCAAGUCGAGCGAGAAACUCGCAGAUGAAAUUUCGAUGGAUUCAGCGGGCGGAAAGCGGCGGACGGGUGAGUAACGCGUAGGCAACCUGCCCCUUCCAGAGGGAUAGCCAUUGGAAACGGUGAUUAAUACCUCAUAAAGCCUCAUCUUCACAUGAAGGAGAGGCCAAAGAUUUAUCGGGAAGGGAUGGGCCUGCGUCUGAUUAGGUAGUUGGAGGGGUAACGGCCCACCAAGCCUACGAUCAGUAGCCGACCUGAGAGGGUAACCGGCCACAUUGGAACUGAGACACGGUCCAAACUCCUACGGGAGGCAGCAGUGGGGAAUAUUGCACGAUGGGCGAAAGCCUGAUGCAGCAACGCCGCGUGAAUGAUGAAGGCCCUAUGGGUCGUAAAGUUCUGAUCUGAGGGAAGAAACAAAUGACGGUACCUCAGGAGAAAGCCCCGGCUAACUAUGUGCCAGCAGCCGCGGUAAUACGUAGGGGGCAAGCGUUAUCCGGAAUUAUUGGGCGUAAAGGGUGCGUAGGUGGCCUAUUAAGCGUGGGGUGAAAGGCAAUGGCUCAACCAUUGUGAGCCCCGCGAACUGAUGGGCUUGAGUGCAGGAGGGGAAAGCGGAACUCCCAGUGUAGCGGUGAAAUGCGUAGAUAUUGGGAAGAACACCGGCGGCGAAGGCGGCUUUCUGGACUGUAACUGACACUGAGGCACGAAAGCGUGGGGAGCAAACAGGAUUAGAUACCCUGGUAGUCCACGCCGUAAACGAUGAACACUAGGUGUCGGGGCUUAACCGCUUCGGUGCCGGAGUUAACGCAUUAAGUGUUCCGCCUGGGGAGUACGCACGCAAGUGUGAAACUCAAAGGAAUUGACGGGGACCCGCACAAGCAGCGGAGCAUGUGGUUUAAUUCGAAGCAACGCGAAGAACCUUACCAGAGCUUGACAUCCUGCUGACGGAGGGGGUAAUGCCCCUCUUUCUUCGGACAGCAGAGACAGGUGGUGCAUGGUUGUCGUCAGCUCGUGUCGUGAGAUGUUGGGUUAAGUCCCGCAACGAGCGCAACCCUUGCCUUUAGUUGCCAUCAGAUAAUGCUGGGCACUCUAAAGGGACUGCCGGGGAUAACUCGGAGGAAGGUGGGGAUGACGUCAAAUCAUCAUGCCCCUUAUGUUCUGGGCUACACACGUGCUACAAUGGCCGGUACAAUGAGACGCAAUAUGGCGACAUGGAGCAAAUCACCAAAACCGGCCCCAGUUCGGAUUGCAGGCUGAAACCCGCCUGCAUGAAGUCGGAGUUGCUAGUAAUCGCAGAUCAGAAUGCUGCGGUGAAUACGUUCCCGGGUCUUGUACACACCGCCCGUCACACCAUGGAAGUUGGGGGCGCCCGAAGUCGGUCAGCAAAUAGACUGCCUAAGGCGAAAUCAAUGACUGGGGUGAAGUCGUAACAAGGUAGCCG